GGAAUGAUUUGAGAGAUCAUUAAUUUGUUGUCUCCUGUAGUAUUUUGUUUUGUUUAGAGCUUUCUUCUCAGUUACACAGAAUGAAUUUGAAGUAUAUAAAUUGAAAGCCAUAUGGAUUUAUUAGAAAUGGCAAAGGAAGUACACCUUUCAAGUUUUCUGUGGAACUGAGUUUUCCUCAUUUUUAGUAGUUCAGAGGGAACCACAACAAAAUGUCAAUUCCUGUCAUUCACAUAAUUUAUUCUCACACUGUGUGUGUCCUUUCGGUGACUCUGAGUGGCGGACGGGGUUGUUCAGGAAUGGAAAGAACACCUGGGCCUCUUUUGGAUAGAUUUCAAAGCAUGCAGUUUCAUAACAGCGUAUUUCUAGAGUCCAUGCACACUAAGAUGUCAACAUACUGGAAAACACGGCUGAAAAAGACUUUGUGCCACAUCUGGGUGCGAGAGCUGUC
Molecule: long non-coding RNA, 448 nt
Filed under: Bos taurus (domestic cattle)
Lineage: Eukaryota; Metazoa; Chordata; Mammalia; Artiodactyla; Bovidae
Description: long non-coding RNA NONBTAT020401
Source: RNAcentral